GGAUUGCCUCAGUAACGGCGAGUGAAGCGGCAACAGCUCAAAUUUGAAAUCUGGCCUCACGGCCCGAGUUGUAAUUUGUAGAGGAUGCUUCGAGCAUGGUCUGGCCUAAGUUCCUUGGAACAGGACGUCAUAGAGGGUGAGAAUCCCGUAUGCGGCCAGGUGCCUACGCUCAUGUGAAGCUCCUUCGACGAGUCGAGUUGUUUGGGAAUGCAGCUCAAAAUGGGUGGUAAAUUUCAUCUAAAGCUAAAUAUUGGCCAGAGACCGAUAGCGCACAAGUAGAGUGAUCGAAAGAUGAAAAGCACUUUGGAAAGAGAGUUAAACAGUACGUGAAAUUGUUGAAAGGGAAGCGCUUGCAACCAGACUUGCGCGCGGCCGAUCAUCCGGUGUUCUCACCGGUGCACUCGGUCGCGCUCAGGCCAGCAUCGGUUUUGGUGGUUGGAUAAAGGCCCUAGGAAUGUAGCUUCUCUCGGGGAGUGUUAUAGCCUAGGGUGCAAUGCAGCCCACCGGGACCGAGGACCGCGCUUCGGCUAGGAUGCUGGCGUAAUGGUUGUAAGCGACCCGUCUUGAAACACGGACCAAGGAGUCUAACAUCUAUGCGAGUGUUUGGGUGUCAAACCCAUACGCGUAAUGAAAGUGAACGGAGGUGAGAACCCUUAAGGGUGCAUCAUCGACCGAUCCUGAUGUCUUCGGAUGGAUUUGAGUAAGAGCAUAGCUGUUGGGACCCGAAAGAUGGUGAACUAUGCCUGAAUAGGGUGAAGCCAGAGGAAACUCUGGUGGAGGCUCGCAGCGGUUCUGACGUGCAAAUCGAUCGUCAAAUUUGGGCAUAGGG
This 829-nucleotide ribosomal RNA is filed under the name Thelebolales sp. Its description in RNAcentral is "partial large subunit ribosomal RNA". It matches the Rfam family "Eukaryotic large subunit ribosomal RNA", at positions 72 to 922 of the family's 3401-position model. Lineage: Eukaryota; Fungi; Ascomycota; Leotiomycetes; Thelebolales. The record is from RNAcentral.